UUCAUUGACGGAUGAAACUACAACCAAAUUACCAGCUAUUCCAAUCAAUCAAUUUGGAAACAAUAAAUUUACAAGUCAAUCUGAUUUCAGUCUCAAGGAUUCUAAACUCUACGCCGUUUUAAAAGGAUCACCACAAGAAGAUACCAGCACAUCGGUAUCGGAUAUCGAGGAUUGCGAUACGAAUGACAGUGAUGAUUGUCCUCGUCCUCUUGGCAUUGGCCCAAGACUAAGUGAGACACUCUUAAAAGUGCUUACAUUCUAGACUGGGAAAAUUAUAUAAAAAAUUUAAAUUAACAAUAUAUUAAGAGUUCGUGGUGUGGUUAUAAUUUUAGACAUUAAAAUGCAUUACUAUUUUCCCCAUGGACCUCAUAGAUUUUAUUGAAUCGAUCCCUAAUUGGUAUACUUUUAAUGGGUUUUUUUGCAAAAAACCUAUUACGUGAAUACAUUUUGCAAUCCGAUAGCAACGUCUAAUGAACCCGUUUUGAGUCAAUAAUCAUUUAAUGCAUUCUUGUCUAACUAGCAGUCAUGUCAAUCUAUAUAAAACUUACUGUAAGCGAGCCAUCGAUUCUCAGUAUCGUGUUGAAAAUGCAAGCCCAGUUACUUAUAAUAGUGCUAAUCGGUUGGAAUGGUUUAUGGGCAGCGCCCCAGAGGGAAAUUGAAACGAACAGAACAAAUGUCGAACAAAAGACACUUCCAAGGACCACAUCUGCACCCACUACCUUACACCCCGCAAUGAAGGAAGAGAAAAGUUGGAAUAGAGCAUCAAUCAAUGUAACAUCAAAGAUCUCAACAAAACUGGAUAUAUCUACAACAGAAUCUCAACCCAAACAAACUACAACAACUGAAAGGGAAAAUAAUACGAGAAAAGAAAUUGCAAACAAUUUAAAUGAUAUUCAAGUGCCUCGGCAAGUUUUUCGAGAAUCAUCAGAUAAAUUACCAACAACUCCAGUGAAAUGUGACUCAAGUGACCAUUAUUAUGACGAUUGUGGAGUUCGUCCCAAGAGUAUUGGACCUAGACUUAGUUCAAAGCUUCUAAAAAUACUUGCCAUACUAGGAUAAAUUCAAAGUUUUGCUAACAUAAAAUCCCAUCUAAGUCCAGUUGUAUUAUUAUAUUUAAUAAGUUAAAAUAAACUCAAUUGCAAAGAAUUCAA
Molecule: long non-coding RNA, 1151 nt
Organism: Drosophila willistoni
Lineage: Eukaryota; Metazoa; Arthropoda; Insecta; Diptera; Drosophilidae
Exons: 2
Source: RefSeq, a predicted model, not a curated record